RNAcentral lists this long non-coding RNA (1159 nucleotides) under Vulpes vulpes (red fox). RNAcentral's name for it is "lncRNA (ENSVVUG00000015432.1)". Lineage: Eukaryota; Metazoa; Chordata; Mammalia; Carnivora; Canidae. The record is from RNAcentral.
AUGGGUUUGGUUCAGAUCUUUUUUCCCAAGUUUCUCAUUUUUCUAGGACCAGCAGCUGUGCAGGAAUGUUCCUCUAAAGAAGAUGGGAAAAGUUUAAGAAGCACGAUUAACCAGGAAAACAGUGCUAGGGAUGAAUCAUGGCUGCACCAUCUAAUUUCAUCUACUCUUAAAGGAGCAGGAUCCCCGAUGAAUCAUCACCAAGUAUGUGAUCCAACUAUAUUAACUACAAGCUGGAAAAAAAAUCACAACUCUGGACCUCAGUUUGUUUAACUACAACAUGCCAUGGAUAUCUAUACUAGUUUCCUGGGCCCUGCCAUCACAAGGAACUGCACCCCGAGUCUACUAAUAUUGUCUCAGAGCCUGGAAGUUGAAAGUCUGACAUCAAGGUGUUGGCAGGGUUGGUUACUUCUGAGAGUUGCAAGGGAUAAAUUGUUCCAGGCUCGUCUCCUAGCUUCUGGGGGCCUCAGAUAUUCCUCAACUUGUUGCCAGUAUUCUCCCUGUGUCUUCACAUCUCCUUCUUGGUAGGUGUUUGUCUCUGUGUCCAAAUUUUCCCUUUUCACAAGUACACCAUCAUACUGGACUGGGGGGCAUUCUCAACCAUCUGCAUCUGCAAAAAUCUUUCAUCUGCAAAAGUAGAUCAUCUGUAAAAACCUUAUUUCUGCAUAAGGUCACAUUCACAGGGACUGGUGGUUAAGACUUGAACAUCUUUUCAGGGGACACGGUUUGACCCAUAACAAUGUCCAUCUCUUGGAUUUUUUCAUAAUACAUGUCACGCAUGUGUAUGGAUUGGAAAGUGAGCUAUGGAGAGUGAAAAAUUGUAAGACACGUGCUGGUUCAUUGAAGGAAGAGAACAUGACUGUCUGAAGAAACAAAGUGAUGGAGAAGAAGCUCUGGCUAUGAGUCAAAACACUGUCACUCACUAGCCAGUGUCUGGGAAAGCCAUUUCCUUACUUUCAUGACAGUUUCCAUGACCAUAUAAUAAGCAAUCUCAAUUGGUCCCCUUUUGCCAAGUGUCUCGAUGUUGUUGGAUGCUCUCGGCCAACACUUUGAACUUCCAUUGAAACCUUUCUUUUUCUAGUGCUUUCUGACACUAAGCCCUGACCUAAGCCAGGUGAGCUCUUGCUGAGGUCUGAGUAGCAAGCACAAUGGUGGUAAUGAA